UCCCUGCCCAGCGACUCCUGACACCACAAAACAGAUGAUCUGCAGCCGGCAGUAGGCGCUUGGAAGGAGGGGAAGGGUCUGAAACCAGCACGUUAGGCAUAGAAAGCCUUUAGAGGAACUACUGGAAGGAGGAAAAUGCUACCAGGAAGGAUACAGUGAAAACAAACUCUGAACUCACCUGGAACAUGGAUUCUCUCUGAGCUGCUUUAAAACUGAAGUGAGUGAAAUGAGACUGAACCUUUUUGAAACCAGGGAUUAUGGGAAUGUAGCUUUUCACUAUGAAAGUUAAGUCACCAUCCAG
This is a long non-coding RNA of Mauremys reevesii (Reeves's turtle), 301 nucleotides long. RefSeq lists it as uncharacterized. NCBI's taxonomy places the organism in Eukaryota, Metazoa, Chordata, Testudines, Geoemydidae. The transcript has 3 exons. The record is from RefSeq and is a predicted model, not a curated record.